Molecule: long non-coding RNA, 1427 nt
Filed under: Sus scrofa (pig)
Lineage: Eukaryota; Metazoa; Chordata; Mammalia; Artiodactyla; Suidae
Description: lncRNA (ENSSSCG00040036151.1)
Source: RNAcentral
UCCACAUAAGGGUCGUAUCUUCUUCCUUAUCUUCCUCCAGAAAGCAAGAGGGUGAUUUACAUUUGUGCAUUCUGUCUGGGCAGCACCUUCCCUGAGGCUGCGGAGAAUGUUCGCUUUCAUGUCACCAGAGAAAUGAGGGUGGUGGGGUGAUAAGAAAGCAAAGGCACCUACCUCUUGGGUUAAUUGUGGACUUUGGUUUCCUGUGACUUGGUUUCCGGCUGACUCUUGGAGCUCUGGGAGAGUUGUGUACAUUUCAUCAGCCUUGCGGAGGAGAUAAGGGGAAGGUGACCUCAUGGCAGAGCUUCUGUACAUUUGUGUGUCUCGGGAUAAACACUCUAGUGGAGCUUCUUGGUCUGUGUUUCUCGGUACUGUUCUUCACUGGCUCAGAUGCUGAGCCGCUCUUUCCUCAAGAUUCUACUAAUGACCAAUUUGAGUCAUGAUGGGCAAGAUGAGUUUAUGAGCUCUUCCAACUCAGUCGUAACAGAGCAUGGGCUGGACCCAAGGGCCCUGCCUUGCAGCCAGUGCUGGGGUACACAUGAUGCUAGCUCCCACCCAGUCAUCUGGUCCCUAGAGAUCAACAUUAUCAACUCAACUUACCCCUUCAGGUGUGAACUUCCCUUAUGCUUGACGGUGGCUUCCAGUAAAUCUCUGUUUCCAGUUGGCCAAACUUGGCUCUCAGUAUGUGAAGCAGACUCAUUUGCCAAGUCAAUUCGUCAGAAGAACAAUUCACCCAAUUACCAGAGACUGAAGUGUCCAUAUAGGGCCCAACUCCAUCUCUCACCCCAGAAGCUGUCAGAAAAGUGUCCUCCUCUGAACACGAGACAGUUUGCAGAGUCACAGUAAAAGGCAGGUGAAAAGCAGAAGCAAGUUUAUUUUGCUGUAAAAGGGGGAUAGUGCUGUCGAGUUCCAGGGGUAUUGUUAGGAUUAACUCAGCUAAUACCAAAAAAGCAGGUGAUAUUCAGCACCCAACAAAUGUUAGUGAUUAUUACCAUCAUAAUAAUUAUCAGUUUUAAUUUCACACAUGGAUGUAAAUUAUAGGUAUUAAACUGUACAUUUGAUGGAAGGUGAAAAUAACCAUUUAAAUAGGCAUGCCAGGAAAAGAAGAAAGGUAGCAAUCCCCAGGGCCAAUUCAGUGCUCCAUACCCUUGGUCUCACCAUUUACACAGGGAGGGGAGAGGGGCUGGAGAUGGAGUUCAGUCACCAAUGGACAAUGAUCUAAUCAGUUGUGAUUAUGGAAUGAAGCCUUCAUGAAGCCCCAGACAGCAAGAGAGCUUCGGGGUUGGCGCAUGCGUGGAGAAUGCCAGGAGAUGGUGGAAGCUCCAAGCCCCUUCCUAUGUGCCCUGCAGAAUGUAUCUCUUCCAUCUGGCGGUUUCUGAGUUAUGUCCUUUUAUAAUAAACCAGUGACUAGUGAGUAAAAUGUUUCUCUG